CCCGGACCUUGUACACACCGCCCGUCACACCAUGGGAGUUGGUUUUACCCGAAGCCGGUGCGCGAACCGCAAGGACGCAGCCGUCCACGGUAAGGUCAGCGACUGGGGUG
Molecule: ribosomal RNA, 110 nt
Filed under: uncultured bacterium
Lineage: Bacteria
Description: partial 16S ribosomal RNA
Rfam family: Bacterial small subunit ribosomal RNA
Source: RNAcentral